RNAcentral lists this ribosomal RNA (369 nucleotides) under uncultured organism. RNAcentral's name for it is "bacterial SSU rRNA". It matches the Rfam family "Bacterial small subunit ribosomal RNA", at positions 526 to 896 of the family's 1533-position model. The record is from RNAcentral.
CGAAGGGGGCUAGCGUUGUUCGGAAUUACUGGGCGUAAAGCGCGCGCAGGCGGUUUUUCAAGUCAGUGGUGAAAGCCCGGAGCUCAACUCCGGAACUGCCAUUGAAACUGUAAACUUGAGGAUGAGAGAGGUGAGUGGAAUUCCCAGUGUAGAGGUGAAAUUCGUAGAUAUUGGGAAGAACACCGGUGGCGAAGGCGGCUCACUGGCUCAUAUCUGACGCUCAGGCGCGACAGCGUGGGGAUCAAACAGGAUUAGAUACCCUGGUAGUCCACGCCGUAAACGAUGAAUGCUAGCCGUUGGGCAGCUUGCUGUUCAGUGGCGCAGCUAACGCAUUAAGCAUUCCGCCUGGGGAGUACGGCCGCAAGGUUG